This 1080-nucleotide ribosomal RNA is filed under the name Salmonella enterica subsp. enterica serovar Typhimurium. RNAcentral describes it as "bacterial SSU rRNA". It matches the Rfam family "Bacterial small subunit ribosomal RNA", at positions 63 to 1133 of the family's 1533-position model. The record is from RNAcentral. Lineage: Bacteria; Pseudomonadati; Pseudomonadota; Gammaproteobacteria; Enterobacterales; Enterobacteriaceae.
CGAACGGUAACAGGAAGCAGCUUGCUGCUUCGCUGACGAGUGGCGGACGGGUGAGUAAUGUCUGGGAAACUGCCUGAUGGAGGGGGAUAACUACUGGAAACGGUGGCUAAUACCGCAUAACGUCGCAAGACCAAAGAGGGGGACCUUCGGGCCUCUUGCCAUCAGAUGUGCCCAGAUGGGAUUAGCUUGUUGGUGAGGUAACGGCUCACCAAGGCGACGAUCCCUAGCUGGUCUGAGAGGAUGACCAGCCACACUGGAACUGAGACACGGUCCAGACUCCUACGGGAGGCAGCAGUGGGGAAUAUUGCACAAUGGGCGCAAGCCUGAUGCAGCCAUGCCGCGUGUAUGAAGAAGGCCUUCGGGUUGUAAAGUACUUUCAGCGGGGAGGAAGGUGUUGUGGUUAAUAACCGCAGCAAUUGACGUUACCCGCAGAAGAAGCACCGGCUAACUCCGUGCCAGCAGCCGCGGUAAUACGGAGGGUGCAAGCGUUAAUCGGAAUUACUGGGCGUAAAGCGCACGCAGGCGGUCUGUCAAGUCGGAUGUGAAAUCCCCGGGCUCAACCUGGGAACUGCAUUCGAAACUGGCAGGCUUGAGUCUUGUAGAGGGGGGUAGAAUUCCAGGUGUAGCGGUGAAAUGCGUAGAGAUCUGGAGGAAUACCGGUGGCGAAGGCGGCCCCCUGGACAAAGACUGACGCUCAGGUGCGAAAGCGUGGGGAGCAAACAGGAUUAGAUACCCUGGUAGUCCACGCCGUAAACGAUGUCUACUUGGAGGUUGUGCCCUUGAGGCGUGGCUUCCGGAGCUAACGCGUUAAGUAGACCGCCUGGGGAGUACGGCCGCAAGGUUAAAACUCAAAUGAAUUGACGGGGGCCCGCACAAGCGGUGGAGCAUGUGGUUUAAUUCGAUGCAACGCGAAGAACCUUACCUGGUCUUGACAUCCACAGAAGAAUCCAGAGAUGGAUUUGUGCCUUCGGGAACUGUGAGACAGGUGCUGCAUGGCUGUCGUCAGCUCGUGUUGUGAAAUGUUGGGUUAAGUCCCGCAACGAGCGCAACCCUUAUCCUUUGUUGCCAGCGAUUAGGUCG